GACAGAGUGCCACUUACUGAA
This 21-nucleotide microRNA is filed under the name Homo sapiens (human). RNAcentral describes it as "hsa-miR-4797-5p". The record is from miRBase by way of RNAcentral. Lineage: Eukaryota; Metazoa; Chordata; Mammalia; Primates; Hominidae.